RNAcentral lists this transfer RNA (87 nucleotides) under Hyphomicrobiales bacterium. RNAcentral describes it as "tRNA-Ser". It matches the Rfam family "tRNA". From Rfam's summary of the family: Transfer RNA (tRNA) molecules are approximately 80 nucleotides in length. The record is from RNAcentral. Lineage: Bacteria; Pseudomonadati; Pseudomonadota; Alphaproteobacteria; Hyphomicrobiales.
GGAGAGGUGGUCGAGUGGCUGAUGACGCCUGUUUCGAAAGCAGGCCUAGGCGAAAGUCUAGCGGGGGUUCGAAUCCCUCCCUCUCUG